RNAcentral lists this ribosomal RNA (415 nucleotides) under Membracioides sp. UCR ENT 00086057. RNAcentral describes it as "partial large subunit ribosomal RNA". Lineage: Eukaryota; Metazoa; Arthropoda; Insecta; Hemiptera; Schizopteridae. The record is from RNAcentral.
GUCUUUUUGAUAUUUAUUUAAGGUCAGGCCUGCCCAAUGAUUUAUAUUUAAUGGCUGCAGUAUUUUAACUGUACGAAGGUAGCAUAAUCAUUUGUUUAAUAAUUUUAGACUAGUAUGAAUGGUCUUAUGAGAGUUAAUCUUUCUUAUUUAUAUAAAUAAGAAAUUAUUUUUUUAGUGAAAAAACUGAAAUUUUUUUAUAGGACGAGAAGACCCUAUAGAACUUAUAUAAUCUUAUAUAUAAGAUUAUAUGUAAGAUUAUUUAAUUGGGGUGAUUUUAAUUUUUAAUUAACAAUUUUUUAUUUUAUCAUUGAUUUUUGAUUUUUAUGAUCCAAUUUUUUGAUUAUAAGAUUAAGUUACCUUAGGGAUAACAGCGUAAUUUAACUGGAGAGUUCUUAUCGAUAGUUUAAGUUUGCGA